Molecule: ribosomal RNA, 253 nt
Filed under: uncultured bacterium
Lineage: Bacteria
Description: partial 16S ribosomal RNA
Rfam family: Bacterial small subunit ribosomal RNA
Source: RNAcentral
CACGUAGGGCGCAAGCGUUGUCCGGAAUUAUUGGGCGUAAAGAGCUCGUAGGUGGUUUGUUACGUCUGCUGUGAAAUCCUAGGGCUUAACCCUGGGCUUGCAGUGGAUACGGGCAGACUAGAGGUAGGUAGGGGAGAAUGGAAUUCCUGGUGUAGCGGUGAAAUGCGCAGAUAUCGGGAGGAACACCGGUGGCGAAGGCGGUUCUCUGGGCCUUACCUGACGCUGAGGAGCGAAAGCGUGGGGAGCAAACAGG